Mya arenaria is the source of this 1292-nucleotide long non-coding RNA. RefSeq lists it as uncharacterized. NCBI's taxonomy places the organism in Eukaryota, Metazoa, Mollusca, Bivalvia, Myida, Myidae. The transcript is spliced from 4 exons. The record is from RefSeq and is a predicted model, not a curated record.
GCCAAGCUUGGGUGCACUGGGCCGGUUAUCCAGCCGUGUGGAAUCAACAUCUCCAGCUGAGCUUGGGCCGGGAAUUAUAUAAGAAUCCUUAGCAGCAUGAGUGCCAGCCAGUCAUUGCUGUUCUUUGCAUUGCUGAGGAGGACAGUCCUGCCAACAUAAUAGUUUGUUCAAUAACAGGAGACAAACAGAAACACAGAGGUGCUAUACAUUCCGAUGGAAAAUACAACAAAAGAAGAAUUUUAAGAAAGGUGAUGGUUGGGCACACACAAGAAGACAUAGAUCACAUGUGUCCAGGCAUAUGAGUAGACAGGAGUUUCACACUCUGCCAAACUUACUUCAUCAGAGGAGCAGAAAGCUUCCCAAGAUCCCGCACUGCACACUUAGAUAUAGUCUUUGACUACAACAAGGGGGAGAAAGUACAGAGAGGUCCAAUUGAAACCAAUUCUGUGCUGCGUCAUUUCUUCAUUCUGGAAGUCGAUGGACAUGAUUUAUCAUGGCAUCAGGUGUGCAGUUUGUCGACUAUCAGCAGUCUUGUUCACCAGUUGUGCAACUUGAGCUGGUAGCUUUAUUGCUUGAAGCCACAGCAUAAGAGGGGGAAGGUGCAGGCUCAUCAAAAAGUCUCAAAAGUUGAAACUAGGAAAAGAAGUUUGUCAAGAGUGUGAAUAUUUGCUUUGAAAACCAUCGUUACGAUGAUUUGGUUUCCUUUGAAACUUGAUACAUACUAUGUGUAUGUUGAAUGAAUUGAGAUGCUUAAAUAAAGAACAGCUAUUCAAAUAUCAGGAAACUGCAUUUUUCAUACUAAAGGGUAAAUGAUGUCGCCAUUUCCUGUAUGUAUUUAAAUGAGAUAUGUUUCCACAAUUAAUAUUUUUAGGGAAUUUUUCUCAUCCUAAUGAAUGAGAUAAAAUUGUACAGCGUUAUAUGAGCUUAAUAUGUGUUUUCUGUUUCUUUAAAAUUGGUGAAAAAUUGUCAGAAGAUAAUUAGACCAGUAUCCAUUACUGCAAUCAUACAAUCAAAUAUACAGGGACAAACCCACUGGGCAUAUAAUAUAAUUAAACCCUGUUUAGGGGCACGAGGCAAACAGAGUUACUUUCAAACGUUAAAGCUGCACUCUCACAUUUUGGACGUUUUGACAACUUUUCUCAUUUUAUGUCUUGGAUUGGAACCAUCCAAUUUUUGCGAAAAAUUAAAUGGCAGAUUUUUCUAUUUAAGUUAAAACAUUGAUGUUUUAUGCACUUUUCUUAAACCGUUAGUAACAUUAAUUUUUGAACGGAAAUAUGAAAUCUGUGAUCUGA